RNAcentral lists this ribosomal RNA (505 nucleotides) under uncultured bacterium. Its description in RNAcentral is "partial 16S ribosomal RNA". It matches the Rfam family "Bacterial small subunit ribosomal RNA", at positions 28 to 507 of the family's 1533-position model. The record is from RNAcentral.
GACGAACGCUGGCGGCGUGCCUAAUACAUGCAAGUGGGACGCAAGGAAACACACUGUGCUUGCACACCGUGUUUUCUUGAGUCGCGAACGGGUGAGUAACGCGUAGGUAACCUGCCUAUUAGCGGGGGAUAACUAUUGGAAACGAUAGCUAAUACCGCAUAAUAUUAAUUAUUGCAUGAUAAUUGAUUGAAAGAUGCAAGCGCAUCACUAGUAGAUGGACCUGCGUUGUAUUAGCUAGUUGGUAAGGUAAGAGCUUACCAAGGCGACGAUACAUAGCCGACCUGAGAGGGUGAUCGGCCACACUGGGACUGGGACACGGCCCAGACUCCCACGGGAGGCAGCAGUAGGGAAUCUUCGGCAAUGGACGAAAGUCUGACCGAGCACCGCCGCGUGAGGGAAGAAGGUUUUCGGAUCGGAAAGCUCGGUUGUAAGGCAAGAACGUGUGUGAGAGUGGAAAGUUCACACAGUGACGGUAGCUUACCAGAAAGGGACGGCUAACUACGCG